This 497-nucleotide ribosomal RNA is filed under the name uncultured bacterium. Its description in RNAcentral is "partial 16S ribosomal RNA". It matches the Rfam family "Bacterial small subunit ribosomal RNA", at positions 28 to 507 of the family's 1533-position model. The record is from RNAcentral.
GAUGAACGCUGGCGGCGUGCCUAAUACAUGCAAGUCGAGCGAACAGACGAGGAGCUUGCUCCUCUGACGUUAGCGGCGGACGGGUGAGUAACACGUGGAUAACCUACCUAUAAGACUGGGAUAACUUCGGGAAACCGGAGCUAAUACCGGAUAAUAUAUUGAACCGCAUGGUUCAAUAGUGGAAGACGGUUUUGCUGUCACUUAUAGAUGGAUCCGCGCCGCAUUAGCUAGUUGGUAAGGUAACGGCUUACCAAGGCAACGAUGCGUAGCCGACCUGAGAGGGUGAUCGGCCACACUGGAACUGAGACCCGGUCCAGCCUCCUACGGGAGGCAGCAGUAGGGAAUCUUCCGCAAUGGGCGAAAGCCUGACGGAGCAACGCCGCGUGAGUGAUGAAGGUCUUCGGAUCGUAAAACUCUGUUAUUAGGGAAGAACAAAUGUGUAAGUAACUAUGCACGUCUUGACGGUACCUAAUCAGAAAGCCACGGCUAACUACGUG